Molecule: ribosomal RNA, 244 nt
Filed under: uncultured Staphylococcus sp.
Lineage: Bacteria; Bacillati; Bacillota; Bacilli; Caryophanales; Staphylococcaceae
Description: partial 16S ribosomal RNA
Rfam family: Bacterial small subunit ribosomal RNA
Source: RNAcentral
CGGCGGACGGGUGAGUAACACGUGGAUAACCUACCUAUAAGACUGGGAUAACUUCGGGAAACCGUAGCUAAUACCGGAUAAUAUUUUGAACCGCAUGGUUCAAAAGUGAAAGACGGUCUUGCUGUCACUUAUAGAUGGAUCCGCGCCGCAUUAGCUAGUUGGUAAGGUAACGGCUUACCAAGGCAACGAUGCGUAGCCGACCUGAGAGGGUGAUCGGCCACACUGGAACUGAGACACGGUCCAG